Molecule: ribosomal RNA, 352 nt
Filed under: uncultured prokaryote
Description: partial 16S ribosomal RNA
Source: RNAcentral
CCCUAUGGGGUGCACCAGGAAUGAAUGCAGCUAUUCGCUCGGUUGUUCGUUGUGCUGUCAGUAAAGGGUGGUCCACUUUUGGUGUCAGAAAUGGAUAUCAAGGAUUGAUUGAUGGAUUAUUUGAACCGAUGGGCACACGCGAGGUUGGCGGUAUUCUGCAACGGGGUGGCACAAUACUUGGUAGUGCUCGUUGUGAGGAGUUCACAACCGUCGAAGGACGUGAACGUGCGAUUCAAGGCCUGAACAGAAAGGGUGUGGAUGCUUUAGUCGUGAUCGGUGGAAACGGUUCACAGACUGGCAGUUAUGCGCUUUCUCAAAUGGGGUUCCCUGUGGUAGGAAUUGGCGGGAGAGC